Molecule: long non-coding RNA, 170 nt
Organism: Lucilia cuprina (Australian sheep blowfly)
Lineage: Eukaryota; Metazoa; Arthropoda; Insecta; Diptera; Calliphoridae
Exons: 2
Source: RefSeq, a predicted model, not a curated record
GAAUAAAAUUGUGAAAAAAAGAAAUAAAUUUAGUUGAAAAUUUUGCAAAAAAAAUUGAAUAAGUGAAGUUAAAUCUGAAUAAAAAGAAAAUUACAAGUAUAAGUGAAUGCAAGAAAAUUAAAAUUUUUUUGCAAACUAUUCACAACGAAGUAGCAACAAAAAGAAAACAA